Molecule: antisense RNA, 163 nt
Filed under: Kluyvera ascorbata
Lineage: Bacteria; Pseudomonadati; Pseudomonadota; Gammaproteobacteria; Enterobacterales; Enterobacteriaceae
Description: sok antitoxin (CssrC)
Rfam family: sok antitoxin (CssrC)
About the family: Also identified in Shigella as CssrC.
Source: RNAcentral
GGGUGCUUGAGGCUAUUUGUCUCAGGCAUUGACCGAAAGGCAGAUAGAAGAAAGCCCCGGAAACAUUAUGCGUCUUGCAGGACGCUUAACAUUUACCGAGGCCACAUCUAUGCCCUACAACAUAGAGACUAGCCUCUUACAGACCUUCGGGUCAAGGAGUAGU